GUGGCGGAGACCAUUUGGGCGGCAGCGGAGGUGGCGGCGGCGGCAGUGGCGUCCCGGCUCGGGAGGCGCUCCUCGGGCCAAGGCCAUGGCCCCGCGGCUGCAGCUGGAGAAGGCGGCCUGGCGCUGGGCGGAGACCGUGCGCCCUGAGGAGGUGUCGCAGGAGCACAUCGAGACUGCCUACCGCAUCUGGCUGGAGCCCUGCAUCCGCGGCGUGUGCAGACGAAACUGCAAAGGAAAUCCUAAUUGUUUGGUUGGGAUUGGUGAGCAUAUCUGGUUAGGAGAAAUAGAUGAAAAUAGUUUUCAUAACAUCGAUGAUCCCAACUGUGAGAGGAGAAAAAAGAACUCAUUUGUGGGCCUGACUAACCUUGGAGCUACUUGUUAUGUCAACACUUUUCUUCAAGUGUGGUUUCUCAACUUGGAGCUUCGGCAGGCGCUAUACUUAUGUCCAAGUACCUGCAGUGACUACAUGAUGGGAGAUGGUAUCCACGAAGAGAAAGACUAUGAGCCUCAGACAAUUUGUGAGCAUCUACAGUACUUGUUUGCCUUGUUGCAGAACAGUAAUAGACGAUACAUUGAUCCAUCGGGAUUUGUUAAAGCUUUGGGCCUGGACACUGGGCAACAGCAGGAUGCUCAAGAAUUUUCAAAGCUCUUUAUGUCUCUGUUGGAGGAUACUUUAUCUAAACAAAAGAAUCCAGAUGUGCGGAACAUUGUCCAACAGCAGUUCUGUGGGGAAUAUGCUUAUGUAACUGUUUGCAAUCAGUGUGGCAGAGAGUCUAAGCUUUUAUCAAAGUUUUAUGAACUGGAGUUAAAUAUCCAAGGCCACAAACAGUUAACAGAUUGUAUCUCGGAAUUUUUGAAGGAAGAAAAAUUAGAAGGAGAUAAUCGAUACUUUUGUGAAAAUUGUCAAAGCAAACAGAAUGCAACAAGGAAAAUUCGACUUCUUAGCCUUCCUUGCACUCUGAACUUACAGCUAAUGCGUUUUGUCUUUGACAGGCAAACUGGACAUAAGAAAAAGCUGAAUACCUACAUUGGCUUCUCAGAAAUUUUGGAUAUGGAGCCUUAUGUGGAACAUAAAGGUGGGUCCUAUGUGUAUGAACUCAGUGCGGUCCUCAUACACAGGGGAGUGAGUGCUUACUCUGGCCACUACAUCGCCCAUGUGAAAGAUCCACAGUCUGGUGAAUGGUAUAAGUUUAAUGAUGAAGACAUAGAAAAGAUGGAGGGGAAGAAAUUGCAACUAGGGAUUGAGGAAGAUCUAGCAGAACCUUCUAAGUCCCAAACACGUAAACCCAAGUGUGGCAAAGGAACUCAUUGCUCUCGCAAUGCGUACAUGUUAGUUUAUAGACUGCAAACUCAAGAAAAGCCCAACACAACUGUUCAAGUUCCAGCCUUUCUUCAAGCGCUGGUAGAUCGGGAUAAUUCAAAAUUUGAGGAGUGGUGUAUUGAAAUGGCUGAGAUGCGUAAGCAAAGUGUGGAUAAAGGAAAAGCAAAACAUGAAGAGGUUAAGGAGCUGUACCAAAGGUUACCUGCUGGAGCUGGUCUGUAAGAUAUUUUGGGACAGCACUGUUGCCAUUAAGUGCCUUGUUUUUUUAUGUUCACAAAUGUAUAUAAACAAACUUUCUCCUGUCUUUUCUUAUAACUCACUAAAGCCAGCUUAUAUAUCUCUAAAAUUGCUAUGUAAACCAGUGAGUGAUACCUUGAUGUGUAGCAUUCCAUAUAAUUUUCAUUAUUGUAUACUUUUUAAAAAGGAGAGGCUCUUGAUUAAUUAUGAGAUAUAGGUCAGCACUCUGGAUUCAUGAUUUUUGUAGAUAUUUCUAUUUUGUGAGAAUUUAACUUGUUUCUAAAGAAAAAUCUGAUUGGAUUACAGUGGGAGCAACUUUCUUGUUCUGUUUCUUUGAAUACUUUAUGCCCUAACAGUAUUAACAGGCAUUCUUUUAUAUGAAUAUAAUUUUUUGGUACUAUUUGAUGAACUUGAAAUUUAAUAUAAAAUAUAAAAUUUAAUAUAAAAGCUGUAGAAAAGCUUUGUGCUGACCUGUGAUUUCUUAGAAUUAUCCCACGUAAUCCAACUCAUCCCAUUACUGAAUAUGUUAUUCAAGUUUACCUAAUGUCUCAAAAAAGAAACCAACUUUAUUAAGGCUGAUAGUGCCAUUUGUAAUAAAUUAUCUUUGUCAUUUUGCAGACAUGAAUUCCCCAAACCUAACUUCUGCUUACAGAAGAGAAACAAUUUAAUCCUAACUUUAGAAAAUAAAUACUCAAGCAUAAUUGCACUUGUGGUUUUGUCUUUUUAAUAUCUUAAUUUUCCAUUACUGGUAUAACUUUAAACAAAAGACGAAUAUCAAUCACUAAAUUUGUAAGAAUAGAUGUCAAAAGUUCUUUCAAAACUGCAUCUUAAUUUGCUUCUGACCCUUCUUUGUAACUUGCUUCUUUAACUCUGUGGAAGGGUUGAGAUUAUCCUAAAGAAUUAGACUGACAUUGGUUUAACUGGAAAUGGUUUGGAAAUGAACCCAUGAUUCGAUUCUCUAAAUUUAUAGGUUAUUGUUCAAAGGAAUUGGGACCUAGAAAUCUAUUUUCUGAACUUUAUUCACAGUUUCCUAUAUUCACUGGACAAGAGAAAGGGACUUGUGGGUCUAAAGAGAAAUUCUAUUUUGAACCACUCCUUAGAACUAUGUAGUUCAAAGAUGUUAUAUGUCGAGUUAACACUGUGCUUCCCAUGGCUGUUUUCAUUCAGUGUAUAAGAACCUAUACUUAUGUUCUGUGUUAUUUAUACUAUUACCAAUUAUUAGCUUUAUAAUUUUUUUCCACUUGCAGUAAAUUUACAUAGUGGAAAUUCCAUGUUUUCUUAAGAUGAUAUAAAAUCUCAGUUAAUGACCAUGGUUUUGUGCUGGCAAUGGAAGUCUUUUGUUAUGCAUUUUCUAAAUCUUAUCUUUGUGAACAUAUUUUUUAAAAGGUCACUUACCCUAAAAUCUAAGCCUCAUGAGAACAUCCUUUGGUCCUUUUAAUUUAAAUUGAAAUAUCCCUACAUUAUCUCUAGGUAGUAUGUUUCAAAUAUAUUUUAUGCUGUGAUUGUUCUAGGCUUUAUAACUCUCCAAUAGAAAAUUUGUUGUUUUCAAAAUCCAGGACUUUUUUAAAAAUUAGAAAUAAUUUUGAACCAAAAUGUGUAUUUCCCUUUGGUAAAUAUUUUAACAGUUGCUUUCCUGGUUUAUCAAAUGCUAAAAUUCCAUGUAGUCUGAUAUCUCCAACUUGAUAACGAGGUAGCAGCCUCACUUCGAUUUGGUUAUUGAUUAUGCUUGCCUUUGGAAGGAAAUGCUUAGGUAGUUUACCGAAUCACAGAUUCUAGCACAAUCUGCUUAACUGUGAGACUUGUGCUAGACCCCUGUUCUCAGGGAUGCUCUUGGCAGAGAUUGAUGUAACUCUUUGUAAUGAUAGAGAUUGAAAAUGGAAAGUGAGAAAGACCUCUGUGACCACAGUUGCUCUUCCUUCCCUGGCUCCCACAGCACACUAAAAUGAAAAUCUGGCUGAGUUAAUAGUAAAUACGGUGUUAAAUUAGAAUUAUGGGCCCAGUCUCUGCUCUCUUCCUUCCUCUUCUUACUAUAAAAUCACACAUGGUUUUUCUACUCUUUGUAUCUUACAUUAAAUUCAUAUUGAAUUAUUAAAAAACCAAAACAAUAAGCUUCACUUGCAAGUUUCCUGUGGGAUUGAAAAAUGUCUUGAACUAAUUGCCUUUGAGUCCCAUUGUUGCUGGACGGAUCAGGGUAGCAGUCACCCUAGGCCUUGAAUUCCUGUAUCUAUCCCCUGGCUAGGAGUGCUUAAUGCAUUUUUAGUUUUCCUAGAUUCCUUUCAUUGUAAGGGUCAGGAUUCUUAUGUUUAUUCUUCCAGUUGGCAAUAAUGGCAGGUAUUGCUUCUUCUUCACCCCUCCCCAGCUGCCAGGGAAACUAAAAUACCUAGUGAAUUAUUCUCAAAAUGUUGCUCUUUAUACAGUGCUGUUGCUUUUUUUUUUUCUUUUUUCCUUUGAUAGCCUUCAAGGUUACCAAAAAUUUUAAACUAUCUGACUAUAUUUGGGAAAAGAUUAGAUAUGCUAAAACUUUUUAUUUGCUAUUGGAUAGGGAGCAAAUAUCUGCAGUUAGACACCUAAUGUACUCUAUCCCUAGCAGAUUAAACUUGAUAAAUGGCAAAUAAAAUUGAGAGUUAUUUCAAAGGUAAUUAACCAUACCAUGAUAUGUUGUAAAAUGCUACAACUAUGUUAUCUAUACUGCAUCUUAAGGUCUCCUCUUUUAUAUAUUAUGUGAAUGUAUAAUUAACUUUUCUAUAUCUCUUUUCUUCCAAAAAGCUCAAAAUGCUUCACAUAUCUUAUCUUUUACACUCAACAACAUCCCUGUGAGAGCCCUAUGAGUUUGUCUCUCUUGAGUGGCUGCAAAAGUGGUUGGAUGAAUCAACACCUACCAAGCCUAUUGAUAAUCAUGCUUGCCUGUG
Non-coding RNA from Microcebus murinus (gray mouse lemur), 4467 nucleotides. The record is from RefSeq and is a predicted model, not a curated record. Lineage: Eukaryota; Metazoa; Chordata; Mammalia; Primates; Cheirogaleidae.